Non-coding RNA from Chaetura pelagica (chimney swift), 705 nucleotides. Lineage: Eukaryota; Metazoa; Chordata; Aves; Apodiformes; Apodidae. The record is from the annotation of a RefSeq genome assembly.
AUGGCCGGGCCCCUUCUCCUCCUCGCGGUGCUCGCCCACAGCUCAGGUUUCCUGGUCCAGGCAGCAGUGACUCAGCCGCCUUCGGUGUCAGCAAACCUGGGAGAAACUGUCCAGAUCACCUGCUCUGGGAUUGACACUGGCAGCGGUUACACUGGUUGGUACCAGCAGAAGGUGCCUGGCCAUGCCCCUGUCACCGUGAUUUACUGGAAUAGCAACAGACCCUCAGACAUCCCUUCACGAUUCUCCGGCUCUGCAUCUGGCUCCACGGGCACGUUAAUCAUCUCUGGGGUCCAAGCCGAGGACGAGGCUGUCUAUUACUGUGGUGGCUAUGAAACUGGUGGUGACGUUUUUGGAGCCGGGACCAUGCUGACCGUCCUAGGACAGCCCAAGGCAAGCCCCUCUGUCUACCUCUUCCCACCAUCCUCCGAGCAGCUCUCGUCGGAGCAUAAAGCCACCCUGGUGUGCCUGCUGGAAGGCUUCUAUCCUGGGGCAGCACAGGUGACCUGGACAGCUGAUGGGCAGGUCAUCAGCAGCGGCGUGGAGACCGGGCAGCCCCAGCGCCAGAGCAACAACAAGUACAUGGCCAGCAGCUACCUGAUGCUGAGUGAGAGCGAGUGGGCAAGGCACGAAACCUACUCCUGCAAGGUCAAGCACGAGGCUGGCAACGUGGAGAAGAGCCUGAAGAGAUCCCAGUGCAGCCACUAA